AUUGAACGCUGGCGGCAGGCCUAACACAUGCAAGUCGAACGAGUGGCGGACGGGUGAGUAAUGUCUGGGUAACCGCCAGAUGGAGGGGGAUAACUACUGGAAACGUUAGCUAAUACCGCAUACCAUCGGAUGUGCACAUAUGGGAUUAGCUGGUAGGUGGGGUAAAGGCUCACCUAGACGGCGAUCCCUAGCUGGUCUGAGAGGAUGACCAGCCACACGGGAAAUGAGACACGGUCCAGACUCUUACGGGAGGCAGCAGUGGGAAAUAUUGCACAAUGGGCGCAAGACAGAUGCAGCCAUGCCGCGUGUAUGAAUAAGGCCUUCGGGUUGUAAAGUACUUUCAGCGGGGAGGCGUUACCCGCAGAAGAAGCACCGGCUAACUCCGUGCCAGCCGCCGCGGUAAUAC
Molecule: ribosomal RNA, 406 nt
Filed under: uncultured bacterium
Lineage: Bacteria
Description: partial 16S ribosomal RNA
Rfam family: Bacterial small subunit ribosomal RNA
Source: RNAcentral